Molecule: small nucleolar RNA, 70 nt
Organism: Venturia canescens
Lineage: Eukaryota; Metazoa; Arthropoda; Insecta; Hymenoptera; Ichneumonidae
Product: small nucleolar RNA SNORD18
Exons: 1
Source: RefSeq, a predicted model, not a curated record
UCUGAAUGAUGAUUUGCUUUUGGUCCGUGUUUAUGAUCGACAGUGAUUUUAAAUCAAAAGCUCUGACAAG